RNAcentral lists this ribosomal RNA (433 nucleotides) under uncultured Weissella sp. Its description in RNAcentral is "bacterial SSU rRNA". It matches the Rfam family "Bacterial small subunit ribosomal RNA", at positions 958 to 1393 of the family's 1533-position model. Lineage: Bacteria; Bacillati; Bacillota; Bacilli; Lactobacillales; Lactobacillaceae. The record is from RNAcentral.
AACGCGAAGAACCUUACCAGGUCUUGACAUCCCUUGACAACGCUAGAAAUAGCGCGUUCCCUUCGGGGACAAGGUGACAGGUGGUGCAUGGUUGUCGUCAGCUCGUGUCGUGAGAUGUUGGGUUAAGUCCCGCAACGAGCGCAACCCUUAUUAUUAGUUGCCAGCAUUCAGUUGGGCACUCUAGUGAGACUGCCGGUGAUAAACCGGAGGAAGGUGGGGAUGACGUCAAAUCAUCAUGCCCCUUAUGACCUGGGCUACACACGUGCUACAAUGGCAUAUACAACGAGUCGCUAACCUGCGAAGGUACGCUAAUCUCUUAAAGUAUGUCUCAGUUCGGAUUGUAGGCUGCAACUCGCCUACAUGAAGUCGGAAUCGCUAGUAAUCGCGGAUCAGCACGCCGCGGUGAAUACGUUCCCGGGUCUUGUACACACGC